AGCAUUUGUUUUUGGCCUUGUUCUCGGUAUGUUACUCUCUGCAAUACUUGUCCUGUGCAGCUCAGGUCCUUUUACUGAUUUCAAUUGACAGAGUGCAGAUUUAGUUCACCUAUUCCUAAAUUAUAACUAUUAAUUUAAAUGGGCAAGAGGCAUGUGGUUAUGUUUUCACUAGGAGGUCAUUGCUUCCUGUUGUUUUUGUACUUUUUUCUCUUUCUCUAUUUUAUCACGAGGCAUCUCCCCUAAAAUGCAACAUGUCAACCUGUUUGCCAUGUAGUUGCUUUGCUCUGGAAUUAUUCAAUUCACACUGCUAAUAAUAGUAUGAGAUGUUGUUUGUGUCAACAGAAACUUUUCAAGAAUUGCAUGAUAGGCUGUCAUGGUAUUUACGAAUGCAGUAUUAUUCUCAGAUUUAACUGAGGCAUAAGAGCUGUGAAAGUUUCUUGCUAUUUUUAAAUGUCAUUGGUCCAAGUGCCUCAAAAGUUACUUGUUUAGAGUCUGAUCAUCAGAGCAAAGUUAUAUUCCCGUCUGUCUUUUAUUUUCAUUAACUCAUCAUGAUUCAUGAGCUUAACAAAAUCCUUAAAGCCUGAUUUAUUUUACUUUUGUAGCUUGCAUGUUUUCUUGAAUUCAUUCUGAGGUGCUUUUUUUUUUUUAAACCUUUU
This 656-nucleotide long non-coding RNA is filed under the name Citrus x clementina. RNAcentral describes it as "Citrus clementina (C. clementina) long non-coding RNA (CCLE_LNC000561)". The record is from RNAcentral. Lineage: Eukaryota; Viridiplantae; Streptophyta; Magnoliopsida; Sapindales; Rutaceae.